This 2612-nucleotide long non-coding RNA is filed under the name Gallus gallus (chicken). Its description in RNAcentral is "lncRNA (ENSGALG00010008732.1)". The record is from RNAcentral. Lineage: Eukaryota; Metazoa; Chordata; Aves; Galliformes; Phasianidae.
GCUCCGGCCGCCGCCUCACAGUGACUGGGGAGAGGAAGGAGGCGAGGGGCCCGACGGGAGCGGGGAGGAGCCUCGCGUCUCAGUGCUGCUGAGUUUGAAUCAGUUCGAAAAGUAGGUGUAUGGGAACUGUUGAAUCACGGCCUGAACCUCUGAUUGACCCCCUGAGGCGUGUGCUGAGUCAGCUGCAGGGGCACAGGUGAAAGCAAUUGGCUCCACCCCUCCUAGACCCCAUUUAAGGGCUGACUCAGAAGGAGGAAGGCUCUCUACCUGGAGAUUACUCCUCUUGGAGCCCUUCUGUGAGCCCAAGACAUGGGCAAAACUGGCAGUUAAACAAGCCCAGGCAUUGGGUAUAUUUGAUCCUACCCUCCCAGACGAAUUGGAUGUUCAUGUCACUCAGGAUGGCUUUGGCUGGGGCCUGUGACAACACUAGAGUUCUGUUUGGACACCCAUUGGAUUCUGGUCCCAGGUCUGGCACGGAGCUGAAGAAAGAUAUAGUAUGACUGAAAAACAGUUAUUGGCUGUCUACUCCGCAUCCCAGGCGGUAGAGCUGAUAACCCAAGUGGCUAAAAUCAUAGUUAAGACUACCCUGUCAGUUCUGGGGUGGGUGAAAAAUCUGACCCACCUUCCUAAGAUUGAGUGGCCCAAGCACAAUCAGUAGCAUGAUGGGUUGCCUGUCUCAGCCAGAGGAGUAGUCUGUCUUCACCACUGAUAGAACUCCAGAAGAUCCUAGGCCCAGUGACGUAUAACACUGAUGCACCAAAAAUAACAUUGGUCUCUCCACCAGGAGGGAAAAUAUCUGAUCCCUAAAUAUGCCUGGUGCACAGAUGAAUCCAGCAAGGGCAACGCAAGCAAGUGGAGAGCGAUAGCAUACCAUCCCUCCACCAAGACAAUCUGCUUUGAUGAGGGGGGAUGGUCAGAGCAGCCAAUGGGCAGAACUGUGAGCUGUGUGGAUGAUUAUGACCAAGGAACUCGGUGAUGGUAUCCUGAACAUCUGCACAGAUAGUUGGGCUGUGUACUGGGGACUCACUCUUUGGAUUGCACAGUGGGCCAUCCAGGAAUGGACUAUCAGCACCUUACAAAUCAGGUGCAAAGAUAUGUGGUUAGACAUAUGGAAUAAGUUAAACACAGGACUGUACGUGUCUACCAUGUUUCUGGUCACCAAUCCCUACAGUCACUGGGAAAUGAUGAAGCUGACACACUGGCCUGAGUUUGAUGGAUUGAGAAUUCACCAUCUGAGAACAUCGCCUGUGGUUACAUCAGAAGCUUUGGCAUGCUGGACAAAAGACAAUAUGGGCAGCUGCUAAAGCAUGGGGGCUGCCCAUACAACUAUUUUACAUUGCCCAGGUAUGCUGAGACUGUGAUGCUUGCUUCAAGAUAAGACUGAGAUCAUUGCCCAGAGCAACAGCCCAUCUUGCUAGAGCAUGCAACCCUCUCCAGAGAUGGCAGGUUGAUUACAUUGGGCCCCUCCCUUGGUCUGAGGGGGUGAGAUAUUCCCUGACCUGCAAAUGGGCUAAUUCAGGCCUAUCCAGUACCAAAAGCAAACCAGGCGUAUACCAUCAAGGCACUUACUAAACUGAUGUCUGCCUACAGGACACCUCAAGUCAUUGAGAGUGACCGAGGGACCCAUUUUACUGGUGCAGUGAUACAAUGCUGGGCAGAAGAAAACAUUGAAUGGUGAUUCCACCUGCCAUAUAAUCCAAUGGGGACAGGUCUCAUUGAACAUUAUAAUGGUAUUCUUAAGGCUGCUGUAAAGACAGACUCUCAGUCCCUGCGGAUAAAGAGUUUAUCCUGGUGGAUAAAGAGACUCUAUGAAACCCUGUGGGACUUGAAUGAAAGUCCUAGAGAUGGCAGACCCAGUGCUCAGAAAAUGCUACAGACAUGGGCCUCCCUGCUUAGGAUCCAUAUUACAGGCACUGAUAAUCAGGAUCACCGGAAGGAAUGAAAUGCCUUUGAAGCGUUCCAGUGUUGCUGUGGGAUCAUGUGUGACACCAGGUGAUGGUCUACAUGGGACUGAUGGAGCAUAGGAUGGACCUCCACCACACGACUACAUACCUCCAGUAACACCACCAAGCACUAGCCCAUAAAAGAGCAUGAACUUUCACCUUACACCAAUAAUCACUUGUCUUAAAUGUUGUCAAUAUGCAUCACAAUGAGAAAUUGUAUAAGCAUUGUGAUAUGUUGGAUUUCUGUAUUAUGGAGCACUUACCUUUAGUUAACUUGAUCGUUGGUUCACGCCAUGAAGUGGUGGAGUGUAUGGGAACUGUUGAAUCAUGGCCUGAACCACUGAUUGAUCACUUGAGGCAAGUACUGAGUCAGCUGCAGGAGCACAGGUGAAGGCAAUUCACAUGUGUGAUCGGAAGAGGUGGAGUCUGGCUCCACCUCUCCUAGACCCCAUUUAAGGGCUGACUGCCACUAAGGAAGGAUCUCUUUCUGGAGACUGCUCCCUUCGGAGUUUUUCUGCGAGCCUACGACAUGGGAUCCCACAGGUGUUCAAGAGUGAAAUCCCAUGACAGACAUGGAAAUGUAUACGAGGCAAAGUUAAAGAAACAGACUGCAAUCCCUCCCACUGAGGAUGUACUUCAGCUGAGCACCAUGAUCCAUGGUAGAUGUCA